RNAcentral lists this ribosomal RNA (328 nucleotides) under uncultured Clostridiaceae bacterium. RNAcentral's name for it is "bacterial SSU rRNA". It matches the Rfam family "Bacterial small subunit ribosomal RNA", at positions 28 to 339 of the family's 1533-position model. The record is from RNAcentral. Lineage: Bacteria; Bacillati; Bacillota; Clostridia; Eubacteriales; Clostridiaceae.
GAUGAACGCUGGCGGCGUGCCUAACACAUGCAAGUCGAGCGGGAAAUACUGGAUUGAAGCUUCGGUAGAUUGAAAGUAUGGAGAGCGGCGGACGGGUGAGUAACGCGUAGGCAACCUGCCCUUUACACAGGGAUAGCCACUGGAAACGGUGAUUAAAACCUGAUGACACCGAGAUAUCACAUGUUAAUUCGGUCAAAGAUUUAUCGGUAAAGGAUGGGCCUGCGUCUGAUUAGAUAGUUGGUGAGGUAACGGCCCACCAAGUCAACGAUCAGUAGCCGACCUGAGAGGGUGAUCGGCCACAUUGGAACUGAGACACGGUCCAAACUCC